RNAcentral lists this ribosomal RNA (471 nucleotides) under uncultured bacterium. Its description in RNAcentral is "partial 16S ribosomal RNA". It matches the Rfam family "Bacterial small subunit ribosomal RNA", at positions 330 to 793 of the family's 1533-position model. The record is from RNAcentral.
UCCAGACUCCUACGGGAGGCAGCAGUGGGGAAUAUUGCGCAAUGGGCGAAAGCCUGACGCAGCGACGCCGCGUGAGGGAUGAAGGUCUUCGGAUCGUAAACCUCUGUCAGCAGGGAAGAACGGUCACUGUGCUAAUCAGCAGUGAAUUGACGGUACCUGCAAAGGAAGCACCGGCUAACUCCGUGCCAGCAGCCGCGGUAAUACGUAUGGAGCAAGCGUUAUCCGGAUUUACUGGGUGUAAAGGGGGCGCAGACGGCGAUGCAAGCCAGGAGUGAAAGCCCGGGGCCUAACCCCGGGACUACUCUUGGAACUGCGUGGCUAGAGUGCAGGAGGGGCAGGCGGAAUUCCUGGUGUAGCGGUGAAAUGCGUAGAUAUCAGGAGGAACACCGGUGGCGAAGGCGGCCUGCUGGACUGCAACUGACGUUGAGGCCCGAAAGCGUGGGGAGCAAACAGGAUUAGAUACCCCCGUAA